CUACGGGCCGCAGCAGUGGGGAAUAUUGCACAAUGGAGGAAACUCUGAUGCAGCAACGCCGCGUGGAGGAUGACACCUUUCGGAGCGUAGACUCCUUUUAUAUAGGAAGAAGAUGACGGUACUAUAUGAAUAAGCGCCGGCUAACUCCGUGCCAGCAGCCGCGGUAAUACGGAGGGCGCAAGCGUUACUCGGAAUCACUGGGCGUAAAGAGCGUGUAGGCGGAUUAAAAAGUCAGAAGUGAAAUCCUAUAGCUUAACUAUAGAACUGCUUCUGAAACUCUUAAUCUAGAAUAUGGGAGAGGUAGAUGGAAUUUCUGGUGUAGGGGUAAAAUCCGUAGAGAUCAGAAGGAAUACCGAUUGCGAAGGCGAUCUACUAGAACAUUAUUGACGCUGAGACGCGAAAGCGUGGGGAGCAAACAGGAUUAGAUACCCCCGUAGUC
This 439-nucleotide ribosomal RNA is filed under the name uncultured bacterium. RNAcentral's name for it is "partial 16S ribosomal RNA". It matches the Rfam family "Bacterial small subunit ribosomal RNA", at positions 339 to 795 of the family's 1533-position model. The record is from RNAcentral.